Molecule: long non-coding RNA, 554 nt
Organism: Sebastes umbrosus (honeycomb rockfish)
Lineage: Eukaryota; Metazoa; Chordata; Actinopteri; Perciformes; Sebastidae
Exons: 4
Source: RefSeq, a predicted model, not a curated record
UUUUAAACACCAAGGUGUGGCAGAGUCAGGGAGUGUCUCCGACAUGCUCCUCUAUUUAAACCCUCACACUCUGUCCUCUCCUCACUUCGGUGGACUCUGCUUUUGAAUCCAGGUUCUUGCUUCAGCACGGCUGCCUUUUGACAGAUCCUCUACACUCUAAAAAUGGGAGAUCAAAUGACUGCUUUAGAAGUGUCUGUGGUUACCAUGUUCGGCGUCUUCAUGAAGCACCAAAAUGCAGAAGGAAAACUGACCAAAGAGGAGUUCUCAACAAUGGUGAAGUCUGAACUGAGUCAUUUUUUCACGGACGACACAGAACUAUUCUCCAACAUCGACUUCGACAACGACGGGUUUGUGAGCUUCAAAGAGUUCGCCGUACUGGUUUGUACAAUUGCCGAAUGUCAAUACGAAGUCCUCCAAAAGGCCAUGGAGGAGCAGCAGAAAGCAUAAGAAUAACCUGUAAUGAACAUGUAAAGCACUAUUGAUGGGAAAUAAACCAUCUGACCUAUGUGGUUUCAUAUCACAAUAAUAAAUAAUAGUGUUUUUGUUCCAAUCUU